CCAUAAGGAGCUACCUAUGG
Molecule: unclassified non-coding RNA, 20 nt
Filed under: Pseudomonas phage PRR1
Lineage: Riboviria; Orthornavirae; Lenarviricota; Leviviricetes; Norzivirales; Fiersviridae
Description: 5'-R(*CP*CP*AP*UP*AP*AP*GP*GP*AP*GP*CP*UP*AP*CP *CP*UP*AP*UP*GP*GP)-3' from Pseudomonas phage PRR1 (PDB 4ANG, chain S)
Source: RNAcentral